UAGACCUCAACUCAGGCAAGACUACCUGCUGAACUUAAGCAUAUCAGUAAGCAGAGGAAAAGAAAACAACUGUGAUUCCCUUAGUAACUGCGAGUGAAGCGGGAAAAGCCCAUCGUUUAAUCUUCCCGGACUGUGGUCGGGACGACAUGUAACGGUAUGGAUAGGUUCUCUAUCGGCUCUGUCUGGUCAAAGUCCUCCGGAUUGAGGUGCCAAAGAGGGUGACAGCCCCGUGUGUGACUGGAUAGAGUUGAGUAUGUGGCCGAUUCCGAGAGUCGGGUUGUUUGGGACUGCAACCUAAAGCAGGUGGUAAACUCCACCCAAGGCUAAAUAUUGACACGAAACCGAUAGCGAAUAAGUACUGUGAAGGAAAGUUGAAAAGAACUCUGAAAAGAGAGUUAAAAGUACGUGAAACCGCUAACGGGGAAGCGGAAGGCAGUGUCGAGAUUGAGUGAGUGAGUUGAUUCAAGUUAGUUAAAGUUGAUUAACAAAUUAACUUGGGGCGGCUAGCUUUGCUCGAUGCGUCAGGACUAUCGGUGUGCGGUGGCUCAAUUGUCGGCAUGGCUUCCGCGACACUGCAUAUUUAAUUAAAUUAAGUAUGCAGUGUCGCGGUUGCGGCAGAUGAUCCGCCUCGUGCGCUGGUAWGGAUGUGGUGAGGCGUUGGUGAUGUAGUGUCGGUUGGUGUUGUGUGGUGCCCCGCGUAGUCACAUUGUGGCUACGUGUGGGGAAGUCGUGUGAUAGUUCAACAACCAGUGCCAGUUCCUGACGUGAUACCUAACCUUCCGACCCGUCUUGAAACACGGACCAAGGAGGCAGAAUCUAGAGCGAGUUGGAGGGUGGAAAACCCGACGGCGCAGUGAAAGCGAGAGAUGAGACCCUGUGGCCUCGGCUGCGGGGGCAUCAUCGGCCAGUCAUCUUGGGGUGAUUGAGUUUGAGCUGUAGAUGCUGGACCCGAAAGAUGGUGAACUAUGCGUGAGCAGGGCGAAGCCAGAGGAAACUCUGGUGGAGGCUCGUAGCGAUUCUGACGUGCAAAUCGAUCGUUUGACUUGCGUAUAGGGGCGAUAGACUAAUCGAACCAUCUAGUAGCUGGUUCCCUUCGAAAUAUCCCUCAGGAUCGCUGAGACAAGUGGGAGACAGUUUCAUCGGGUAGAGCGAAUGAUUAGAGGAAUCGGGGAUAUCUUACUCUCGACCUAUUCUCAAACUUCCAACCGGUGAGGGCGCCGUUUACUUUGAUAAUUAAUUAAUUAAUCGAUGAAACGGUGCGGUGAAUGUUUUUGUCUCAAGUGGGCCAUUUUUGGUAAGCAGAACUGGCGAUGCGGGAUGAACCGAGAGUUGAGCUAAGGUGCCAAAGGACACGUUGAUAGAUACCACAAAAGGAGUCGGUCGAUAAAGACAGCAGGGCGGUGGCCCUGAAAGUAGGAAUCCGCUAAGGAAUUGUCUAAAAACUCACCUGCCGAAUCGACCGGCCCUGAAAAUGGAUGGCGCUGAAUCGUGUCACCGAUGCUCGACCUCUACCACGAGAGAUGUUGGUAGGGGGUAGAAGGGCGCGGCGGUGGCGACAAAGUACAAAGUGUAAACUUGUAUGGAGCUGCCGUCGGUGUAGAUCUUGGUGGUAGUAGCAAUUAUAAAAGUGAAAACCUUUUAGGCCGAAGUGGAGAAGGGUUCCACGUGAACAGCAGUUGGACGUGGGUUAGUCGGUCCUAAGCGGUUGCCUAACGGUAAUUCCAAAGCCAACUUGUGGGGCGUUCAUUGUCGAUAUCUUGYUGAUUUAUAAUAAUUAUACAUUUAACAAGGURUGGGYGUGGGCGCAACUAUGUUGGAAUCCGCGAAAGGGAAUCAGGUUAAUAUUCCUGAACCGGGCUAUGGAGACGCUGCCUUUUUAUAUGAYAUAAUUUAAUUAUGUUGUAGUAGGGGCAGCUUAGCGGUAACGCAAACAAUCUCGGAGACGUUGACAUCUAUGGCGGAGAGAAUUAUCUUUUCUGUAUAACAGGUAAAGAACCUUGGAAUCGAGUCAUUCGGAGAUAAGGUAAAAAGCCUGGAAGAGCACCGCAACUAUUGCAGUGUCCGCAUUGUAGGUGUCGGCCCUUGAAAAUCCGAGGGAGUGGAUAAAUUUCAUGCCCGUCCGUACCGAAACCGCAUCAGGUCUCCUAGGUGAGCAGCCUCUGGCACUGGAACAAUGUAGGUAAGGGAAGUCGGCAAAAUAGAUCCGUAACUUCGGGAAAAGGAUUGGCUCUAAGGGCCGGGCCAAUCGAGCUGGUAUUACCUAGGUUAGUGGGCGUCUGACUGGGUGUUUUUCCAUUUGCGUAUGCUUGUGGAAGGAUAGGUGGUCGGGUGAACGCUGGCCAAGGAAUGCCGGCGUGAGUUUGGUUAUUCAAACAACUCUUUGUUAUUUAAUAAUUWAUUGAGUAACAUGGGGGGACGGGGAUAAAACCAAACUCUUUAUGGGUGGCAAGCGUCGGCCAGCUUAGAACUGUUACCAACUUGGGGAAUCCGACUGUUUAAUUAAAACAAAGCAUUGCGAUGGCCGGAAACGGUGUUGACGCAAUGUGAUUU
This 2550-nucleotide ribosomal RNA is filed under the name Kudoa thyrsites. RNAcentral describes it as "eukaryotic LSU rRNA". It matches the Rfam family "Eukaryotic large subunit ribosomal RNA", at positions 1 to 2198 of the family's 3401-position model. The record is from RNAcentral. Lineage: Eukaryota; Metazoa; Cnidaria; Myxozoa; Multivalvulida; Kudoidae.